This 492-nucleotide ribosomal RNA is filed under the name uncultured bacterium. RNAcentral describes it as "partial 16S ribosomal RNA". It matches the Rfam family "Bacterial small subunit ribosomal RNA", at positions 29 to 507 of the family's 1533-position model. The record is from RNAcentral.
AGUGAACGCUGGCGGUAGGCCUAACACAUGCAAGUCGAACGGAAGCACAGUAAGAGCUUGCCCUUACGGGUGGCGAGUGGCGGACGGGUGAGGAAUACAUCGGAAUCUACUUUUUCGUGGGGGACAACGUAGGGAAACUUACGCUAAUACCGCAUACGACCUACGGGAGAAAGCAGGGGUUCUUCGGACCUUGCGCGAUUGAAUGAGCCGAUGUCGCAUUAGCUAGUUGGCGGGGUAAAGGCCCACCAAGGCGACGAUCCGUAGCUGGUCUGAGAGGAUGAUCAGCCACACUGGAACUGAGACACGGUCCAGACUCCUACGGGAGGCAGCAGUGGGGAAUAUUGGACAAUGGGCGCAAGCCUGAUCCAGCCAUGCCGCGUGGGUGAUGAAGGCCUUCGGGUUGUAAAGCCCUUUUGUUGGGAAAGAAAAGCAGCAGGUUAAUACCCGGCUGUUUUGACGGUACCCAAAGAGUAAGCACCGGCUAACUUCGUG